This is a non-coding RNA of Arvicola amphibius (Eurasian water vole), 507 nucleotides long. The record is from the annotation of a RefSeq genome assembly. NCBI's taxonomy places the organism in Eukaryota, Metazoa, Chordata, Mammalia, Rodentia, Cricetidae.
AGCAGUCAGACAAGCACCAUGAAGAGGCUGCUGUGCUCUCUGCUGGGGCUGCUGUGUACCCAGGUUUGCUGGGUGAAAGGCCAACAAGUGAAGCAGAGCCCUGUGUCCUUGGUUCUGCAGGAGGGAGAGAAUGCAGAGCUGCAGUGCAACUUUUCCACAGUUUUGAACAGUAUGCAGUGGUUUCACCAAAGCCCUGGGGGACCCCUCAUCACCCUGUUUUACAAUCCUUCUGGAACAAAGCAGAGAGGAAGACUCAAGUCCACGACAGUCACUCAGGAACGCCGCAGCUCCUUGUACAUUUCCUCCUCUCAGACCACAGACUCAGGCACUUAUUUCUGUGCUAUGAUCCACAGUGCUCCCCACACACCUGCAGCCAGUACACAAACCUUCAUCUGGCCUGUUGACCCCCAGUGCUCAAGGGCAAAGAGGCAGAAGCAGCAACAGAAUGCUUUGUAUGAGGCCCAUGAGCAUGAACAGAGACAGCCCCCAGAAGGCUGCUUUUGGUGA